Molecule: ribosomal RNA, 1077 nt
Filed under: fungal endophyte
Lineage: Eukaryota; Fungi
Description: eukaryotic LSU rRNA
Source: RNAcentral
GAUCAUUAAAGAGUUGCAAAGCUCCCUCACACACCAUCGCGAACCCUACCUCUGAACAGUUGCUUCGGCGGGCCGGCCCUCCCCCCCCCCAGGGGGGGUGUGCCGCCAGAGGCCCGCCVAAGGUUGCCCAAACCAUUGUUUUUUACAGGCCUCUCUGAGUAACGCACCUGAAUAAGUCAAAACUUUCAACAACGGAUCUCUUGGCUCUGGCAUCGAUGAAAAACGCAGCGAAAUGCGAUAAGUAAUGUGAAUUGCAGAAUCCAGUGAAUCAUCGAAUCUUUGAACGCACAUUGCGCCCGCCAGUAUUCUGGCGGGCAUGCCUGCCCGAGCGUCAUUUCAACCAUCAAGCCCCGCGGGCUUGUGUUGGGGACCUGCGUCCGACGCAGGCCCCGAAAGCCAGUGGCGGGCUCGCUGUCCACACCGAGCGUAGUAGCUAACCUCGCUGCGGAGUGGCGCGGGCGCCCUGCCGUAAAACCCCCCCCAUCUUGCAAGGUUGACCUCGGAUCAGGUAGGAAUACCCGCUGAACUUAAGCAUAUCAAUAAGCGGAGGAAAAGAAACCAACAGGGAUUGCCUCAGUAACGGCGAGUGAAGCGGCAACAGCUCAAAUUUGAAAUCCGGCCUCGGCCCGAGUUGUAAUUUGUAGAGGAGGCUUUUGGUGCGGCACCGACCGAGUCCCCUGGAACGGGGCGCCAUAGAGGGUGAGAGCCCCGUAUGGUCGGACGCCUAUCCUCUGUAAAGCUCCUUCGACGAGUCGAGUAGUUUGGGAAUGCUGCUCAAAAUGGGAGGUAAAUUUCUUCUAAAGCUAAAUACCGGCCAGAGACCGAUAGCGCACAAGUAGAGUGAUCGAAAGAUGAAAAGCACUUUGAAAAGAGGGUUAAAUAGCACGUGAAAUUGUUGAAAGGGAAGCGCCUGCGACCAGACUUGCGCCCCGUCGAUCAUCCGGGGUUCUCCCCGGUGCGCUCGGCGGGGCUCAGGCCAGCAUCGGUUCUCGCGGGGGGACAAAGGCUCCGGGAACGUGGCUCCUCCGGGAGUGUUAUAGCCCGGGGCGCAAUGCCCCCGCGGGGACCGAGGACCGC